Molecule: long non-coding RNA, 6256 nt
Organism: Cavia porcellus (domestic guinea pig)
Lineage: Eukaryota; Metazoa; Chordata; Mammalia; Rodentia; Caviidae
Exons: 7
Source: RefSeq, a predicted model, not a curated record
CACUGCCUGGAACAUUCCUAAUUUUAGCACCAGAAGUCCCGUGUUUCAGGAAUCCCUGCAGACCUGACUGAGAAAGACAGAAUGCUUGAUCACCUUAGAUCCAGCACAAGCAGAGUUGUCUGUCAUAGGCGGAAUGAAGACUUCCUCACUUGAGUAAGGAAAAUGGAGGGAGAGAGGUGCUUGGCUUCGUGGGUUAUAUAGGCUGCGAAGUCCCACAAUAUGCCAUCUGCAAGCUGGAGGGCUGGGAAAGUGGUGGAUUAAUUAAUUGAUGCCAAAGGCUAAGAAGCUGGGCUGAUAUCCUCUCUCGAGUCCAAAGGCCUGAGAUCCUAGAGCUCUGGUGUCCAGGAGAAAAUGGAUGUUUCAGCUCCAAAGAGGGUGGAAUUUGAACUGUGACCCUAGAAAACCCAUGGGAGAACAGAUGCUGCCACGCUAGGAGAAACGAGGACAAGGAUUCAUGGAAGGAGGCAGCAGGACUGGAGCCUCAGCUUCCAGCAUUCAUGCUGGUGCCACCAUGCAGCUGAGCAGGUGCCUUUCCUGGAGUCCUCAGAGUGGAGGUGAAGGACACAUGUGCCUGCCACUUGGCUGCUCCAGCCCCUAAGUCUGACCUGCACGGACUUCUAUUUUAAGAGCCAAAGUACCACCUCCUCUGGCUGCAGAUUGGACUUGCAGUGAGCAGACACAUGAGAGCAAACGUGUGCUUCUAACAUUUCAUAACCUGCCUCCCACAAAACAGAAGGCUCGCUUUCCCUCACAUUCUUCCCUGGCUUGUUUUUGACAUUUUUAACGUGUACUGGAGAUCGAACUCAGGACCUUGCGCUUGCCAGGCAGACACCAGAGAUGCAGAGAAGAGAUCAAGACAGAUCUCAUUGCUCGCCUGUGACCACAUGCACACUCCAAGAUGUAAAGGCAAGGAAGAUGUGUGUAGAAACAGUGAUGGAAGGGGUCCAGUCCGCCCAGAGGUCUCUGGAGUUAUGAAGGUGCACAGACUAGAAGAAACUCAGCCUGGAAUGCAGGAGACAAGUUUGGUGCAUCCAAGAACUCAGCAGGAAUGUCAAUCAAGGCUUCUGUCACAGGCUCUGAGGCCCUGAAGGGGCAGGGUGGGAGGUCUGCACCCCCCCCACACUCCCCCCUGCAGUGAUAGCAGAAAUGCUCUGCAGAGUGGGGCACCAUGCCCACUUCUGCUGCAGGAUGCCUUAAGAGCCAAAAGAUUUAAUAAAGCCUAAGUCAGAGGAAAUAAAAGGCAAUUGUGUCCCUGAAUCCUGGGCUCCUGCCACCCUGCGGCUCCCUAGGGAUAUACUUGUGGCACUUGCAUGCUUCUCUCACAAAGGCCUAGAGGGAGAAAAACAGCCACUCAACAUCUAAUAAAUUAUCCACCAGGUCACUGCUUCUGCUGGCCUCCUUCUGACACUUCUCCCCUGAUUGCAGACAAUAAUUAUCCUCUAAUUGCUUAGACAAUUUUGCUCAUGAAGCUACAGCAACAAUGAAAAGCUGUCGUCUGCUACUGUUUGUUCUAAAUGCUGAUUUGAGCUAAAUUACUCUGCAAUUGCACGAAUGAUUCUAUUCUGAAGAGCAGGGCCCUUCCCUGUGUGGACAUCCCCCAGUGAGGCCUUUGGAGGUCUGAGAAGCAUGUCACAGCAAGUUUCUUACUUCUCUCUUGGCCUCGGGGCUGCACCUGACUUCAGGGUGGUCACUAAUCAGGCCCUCCCCAAGCAGGGACCUGUGGUGGAGUCCUCCUGUGUCUGGGGGCCACCCACUAGCUGUGGAUGGAGUGACUACAGGAAGGAGUGAAUGGAGGUACAGUCCUGCCAUUCUAACAAGUGAAUUUCCUGGGAAUUCAGACCCGCCUUUGACCCUGGGCAUCAUAAUCUCUCUUUUUUAAAAAGCAGAGAGUUGAGUUGCCAAAAUUUAUCUUAACUCAUCAACAUAAUGAAACGGUACUUAUUAGAUGCAUUUUAUUCAUUGCUUGAUGCUACACGCUAUGCAAUUUAGGAGGUUACUUUCUGCAAUAUGAGGGCACAGAUGCCGUGUGCAAGAUGCAGGGCACCUACAGGACUACGAGGCAGUGAUGUUGGGCACACAAUGAGCGUGAUUGUCAAAUGGCAUCAAAUGGAGAAUGCAUGAGAGCAAUAUCUGAAUGAGAACUGGAGGGCAGACUUGGAGAUACCAGUCUCAGCCAAUUGAUUGGUUCAUUUACCCAAUUCUAUUUAUUGAGGACCUGCUAAAUAAUAAGUCCCUGGACAGAUACCUAAGGUUUUUUAAAAAAGAAAAGCCAUUGCUUGUGGUUUGAAGAAGCUCACAGUUUGAUAGAGUCCAAGUGCACUAUACAAAUAACGAGAAUAUGAUGGUUCUAGAGAGAGGUGAGAACAGCAUUAGGGGACUUACGGACUUAGUCUGAGGAGUUGGAACCCAGAUCUGACCCAGGCCUAGAAAUACUGAUGAACUAGGAAGAGUGUGCUAAGGACAUUUGGAAGAACAUGGUACAGCUGAAAGGAUGUGAAAUAGUUCUAUGUGAUCAGAACACAUUAGAGUAGACAUAGUGAAAGGAUGAGACUAGAGAGAGCUCAAGACUUAUUCUGGAAGAUUCCAAGUCUGCUGUGAAUGAUGUUACUUUAGGUGGAAAGAUCCUGCGAAGAGACCCACUCCGGUCUUGUGAAAAGGACGGACUGAAGGGAAGGUGAGGGGCAGGACUAGUGGGACUGGAAGAGAAGUUUCUAGGUGUGUAGGUGAUGAAGUUGUCUCCAUUUUUAUCUUUCCCUUUUUCUGUCUUCGGUACUUUUUAGGCUAUGCUAUUCGCAGCUGAUUUUUCACUUGAUUUUCUUAAUCUUCUUACUCUAACGGAUGCAUGUCCCUCAGGCUCUGCAUUCUAUUUUCUGCUUCUGAGAUGUCAAGUUGCAUAGCUUCUUGGGUCCUUGGCUGAAGAUGAGGGAAGCCACGUUAACUAAGGUUAAUGGAAGUUCUUCAUCACAAGGUGGACUCAACUUGGAGGUCUUCCUUUGUGACCUAAACCAUCUACUUAUGUUUUCCCUUUGCAAGUUGGUAGAUUCUGAUGCAAAGUUUGAGAAUCUUGAUUUGUUUAAGGACCUUGACCUCUCCCUACUUUUCUCCAUCAAGAGGGUUGGUGAUUCAGGGGCCCAGAGUUAAUUUGCGUAUGAACUCAGAAUUUUUGGACACCUGCUGUUUGCAUAUCACAUCAGAUUACUAUGCUAGGUUCUGUUCAAGAGUCUGAACUGUGAGCCUCAGCAAGUCUUUUUCAGACCCUCCAGCUGCCAACAAUGCUUGCUGCUGGGACAACCUGCCUACGUGAGAUUGUGAAAAUGAAUGUCUUAAAAUGCUUGCAAAGCCUGAUGCACAUCAGUCAUCUGGAGUCCCAGCAACCUACUAAAGAAUACAAACAAUAGAAAGGCUAGUUGCUAGAAUUCUUUCCAGGUAAUAAAUCUCCUGCCAUCCCGAGGAAGCAGCCUUUCCUUUGGAGAUUGUAAAUCCAUUUGCUUAAAAACACACAAACAUACAUUUCUCUGAACCUAUUUCCCAGUUUUCAGUGGUAACAAAUUCUGGAGAAUGAAUAAAGGAAAAUAAUAGAUUGAUUCAGGACAUCUUAUAAAUGUGUUUCUGUACUGAACGUCAUACUGGGUACUAAAGAGUUGCAAAGAAAUCAAGACUUCCUCUUACCUUGUGGAGCUUACAUUCUACUGGGAUCUGUAGAGCUAGAUUAGGAAUUUAGAAACACUAUCUGAGAUUAUAGUCUUUGCCACCCAUGCCCCGAUAAAAAUAAAAAAUCACAGAUCUUAAGUGUAUGUAAAAUAUCACAGAUUUGCUGGUUGCAAAAAUCUGGAUAAAUCUGAACUUGUCCAAACUUGAAGAUGAACUUAUCCCGUGUUUUGGUGCCCUUGUUUUAUUGAUGUUGUAAGUACAGACUUUGUCAGCCUGCUAGCAAUCAAGAAAAGAUAUAACUCCAUACACUAGAAGAUAUAAAAUGAAAACAGCAUGUAGCUUCCUGUGUCACUCGGGGUUCCCUGAAGAAACUGAACCAGAAAGAAAGAUCUGUAUCUAUAGUUAUGAAUAUAUAGAUAUAUAGAGAAAAAAAUCUGGAGGGAUUUAUUUCAAGAAAUUGGCGUAAGUGCUUGCGGGGGUGGCUGGCAAGUCUGAAAUGGAGAGGGCAGAUGAGCAGCCUGGAAACUCAGGCUGGAGCUGGAGCUGGAGCUGAAUGCCAGGGUUGGAGUUUUUUCUUCCUCAGAGAAAUCUUGGUUUUGCUUCUUGAAUUUUUCACUGAUUGAAUGAAGCACAUUCAAAUUAUUGAGGAGAGUAACACUUGAAGUCAAGUGAUGCACAAAAUAUACCUAUCUUGCAACACUUACAUUGGAAUUUGUUUGAGUAACUGGCUAUAGACAAGCCAAAGUGAGACAAACUGGACCAUCACAGUCUCCAAAUGACUAUCACAGCCAUGGGCGCUGUUGGAUGGAUGGUCAGGGGCAAGAAUUCUAGGAUGUGACCAUGGGAAGAGAAUUUAGAGAUUGCCACGUUCAGCCUCCUCGAUGCACAGGAAAAGGGCCUACAGGUAUUUGGCUUGUACAGGAUAUGGGGAACAGUUGUGCUUAAACCAGUGAUGAUUUUAUAUGAAAAAUUAAAAAAAAAGUUUUACAGACACAGAGACUCGGUUCUUUUCCUGAUCAAGCAUCUGCUGGAUCUGAAUGUACACAGAAGGUAUUCAAACAAUACUUUUGAUUGAGUCACAUGGGCUAUUAGAUAUGAGCCUGCCUGAAGCUUAAAGUCUCAUUCAUUGAAGGCAGACUCUAAGCAGCCCAAGAAUACUGCUUCAGUAAUGUGUACCCAGGGCCUAGCCAAAAGGUGAUGUGUCAUCCAUGCUAGGAAAAAUUAGUGGAAUUCAUGAAUUCAAUGAAUGUGUGGAUCCUCCUGAUUGUAGAAAGAGAAAGGAAAUGUCCUAAGCGUUAAAUACAGUGUUUUCUGAGUUUCCUCACAUGCCAUAGUAUAUUACCUUUCCAGUAGGUAUAUUUUAAGGAAUAUACAAUAAACACAGGUGUGUGUGCACACACAAUUUAACAUAGCAGGUGCUUAUCACACAGUAGCAAUUUCUAUCACAAACAUUAUUUCACACUAUCCAGCUCUAUAGAUGCUUUUCAUGCUAGGCUCAGACCAUUUCUACCAGCCAUGUAGUUAUCUCCUAGCUCUGGGUGUUUAGUGCCAAUAUCUCACAGCUGCCUCCUUCUCCAUAGGUUUCCCUCCAUUGAAAUAAGUUCACUAGAAGGUUACAGUUUCUGUCUGAGAACAUAGCUCACAACCACUGAUGGAAUCAUAUGGUGAGACAAAUGGUAGGUCUCUUUGCCUUCAAGUGGGGCCAGUUCCACAGCUCGUCAUGGUCAGAUUGCAGCUUGCCUCCAGCAAGCUUCUAUCUAGAUUCCUUCCUGCCUAUUGAGGUCCUCUCAUUCCUUCUCUCCUGAAAGAAUGCACGCAAUAAAUCAUUUGAACAAGAAUCCUAUUCGCAGGCUGUGCUUCUAGGGAAUGUAACUUAGUUACAGAGAGCUCCUCUUUUCUACCUGAACAAUAAUGAGUCAUUUUGCUCAGUGUGAUUCUGAUGUUCAGACCACUAAAUUAGUUUCUAAAAUGUGACUUUCCUAGGUAGCAGAAGAAAAUUACCUUGAUUCAUAGCUGGCACCAAGUACUUACUCACACACAAUAGGCCUCUUCCAUCAGAUGGAUAUGUGGGUACCAAGAGUUUUUAUCUUAAAUGCUUUCUUAAUUCUGACCGGCCAAGUCUAUUCAAUAAACCAAAUAAUCAUUCCUUUAACCACCAAUGCUUGAAUUUCAAGGAAAACAUUGGCUAGCUCAUUCAUUCAUUCAUCCAACAGUUACUGAGCACGGUCCUUGUCAUAAGAUACUGCACUACUAGCUUAGGAUGUGGCUACAGACAAGACACAGCACCUGCCCUCCAAGAACUCACUGUCCAGAAGGAGAAAGGAACAAGUGUUUACAACUGUGGUGAAGUCUGCGACCCGUGCUGUAACAUAAUGCUAUGAGAGCACAGAGGAGAGCCUCUAAAUGAGGAAAGAGGUCAAAACUACUUGUCCUUCAUUGUGCUUGACCUAAACAACAAUAAACAGAAUGGAUCUCCUCUAGUAUAACUGCAAACCAGAGCUUUUCCUUCAAAGGAUAAGGUGUUACAAUGUGCAAAGCUGUGUAGGUUGGAAUACAAAGAAUGGUUGCCUAGUAAUAGACAGAAUAAAAAGACAUAAAUGCAAAA